RNAcentral lists this long non-coding RNA (2289 nucleotides) under Haliotis rubra (blacklip abalone). RNAcentral's name for it is "uncharacterized LOC124287248, transcript variant X4". The record is from RNAcentral. Lineage: Eukaryota; Metazoa; Mollusca; Gastropoda; Lepetellida; Haliotidae.
CUCAUAAACUUCUUAAUAUCUCUUAGCAAAACUUGGCAGAUAUGUGAGGCAGAUCCCAAAGUGGUGCAUUUUGCUAUUUACAGAUUUAUGUCAUUUUUAUUUUUCUUGGUUUCCAUGGUAACGUUUCGGACAUAGUCUCAAAAGAGAGGGGUGAGCUUCGUUUCCGGAGCACAACUCGGAAACCGUUCAAUAUCUUUCUGCAAGACUUGGUAGAUAUAUGAAACAGAACCUAAAGUGGCGCCUUUUUCUAUUUGCAGAUUUUUUGUCAUUUUUAUUUUUAUGGAAACGAUUUGAACUUAGUCUCAAAAGGGAAUGGUGGUUUUCGUUCCGGAUCACAAUUCAAAAACCGUUCAGUAUCUUUCUACAAGACAUGACAGAUAUAUCAAACAGAUCUUGAACUAUUGCCUUUUGCUAUUUGGAGAUUUUUGGCAUUUUUAUAUUUCAUAACUUUCAUGGAAACAAUUUAGACUUAGUCAAAAAAAAUCAAGUUGGACUUUAAGUAACUGUCAGUUGAUUUGCCGGGGGGAUUUGUCAUCUUCUGAUGACUCUUGUUUAGUUCUGCAAAAGGCAUAUGUAGUACUUAUGGUACUAGUAUCUCCUUAGAUACAACAAGUGACUGUUACAAUUAUAUCUCUCUGUACCCAGCAGAGAGUGGGUACCCUGAAGGAUGAGAUGAUUAUAUAACUCCCAAUAUUAAUGAUGUUGUUUAUUUAAAAAAUUAACAAGAAAAUCAGCCGGUAUAGAGGAACAAUUAUCAGGGCAAGUGAUUUUGCAUGUGCCACUGUAACAGUGUACACAAGCAAUUUUAUUUCCACCCCUGAAACUGUUCUUAAUCUGAACAAAAUUGUUUAUAUUUAUGUUUUGAAGAAACUUAGAAAACAUGAUUUAAUAGAACAAACUUGAAAAUCCAUGAAAAAGAGAAACACAACUCAUAUUCCUCUCCAAAAUAAAAUUCACGAUAAUGGACCACUUAUCUACGGUCAGUGUUGUCAAAGAAAUACAUCUAGCGGUUGACAGUGAUUUUUCCUGAUAAUCCUCUUGCAUAAUGACGCAAACUGUCUCACCUCAUAGGUAUGAGUAGGUUAUUUCUUUAAAGGAUUUAUUUAGACAACGAAAACUUGCGGAAUCGAUAAUCAUGACAGCUACUCAAUAUACUAUGCAAUAAUCAUUCAACUAUAUUUUGUAUCUUAUAUAUAAAUGUUGAAACAGGUUGAAAUAUUUUUUACUAUGCCUUUGUGUUGAUAUGGUGCACAUUUUUAUGAGAAGUAUUUUUAAUGUUUAUAUGAUACACUUUUGAAUAUUUUGCAAAUUAAUCAUCGUUCAUGUACUGGACGAUCUGUCACAUCUGUGAGCAUGUUGUUGAUGGUGAAGCUCUGUUUAACAGACCCCCAUUUGUCUGAAGUCAUCGUCUGAGUUCAGGAUCGUGGUUAUGGACAUGUAUAAACACACGCCAAUCGUCAUUGUUUCAACAAUUGCAUUCCGUAUACAACUUGCAAAAGGUCAUUACGCAAGUCAUGUCACCACUGCCUUAAAUUGCAUAAAAAAAUUAUGUCUGACAUAGUGUCCAAGACAGAGAUCGUGUGUCUUACGUGGAUAGGGUGUGUCUGACAUAGAGAAGGUGUGUCUUACAUGGAUAGGGUGUGUCUUACAUGGAUAGGGUGUGUCUGACAUGGAGAAGGUGUGUCUGACAUGGAGAAGGUGUGUCUUACAUAGAGAAGGUGUGUCCAACAUAAAGUAAGUGUGUCUGACAUGGAGAAGGUGUGUCCAACAUGGAGGUGUGUCUGAUGUAGAGAAGGUGUGUCCAACAUGGAGAAGGUGUGUCCGACAUGGAUGUGUGUCUGAUGUAGAGAAGGUGUGUCCAACAUGAAGGUGUGUCUGACAUAGAGGUGUGUCCAAUAUGGAGGUGUGUCUGACAUGGAGAAGGUGUGUCCGACAUGGAGGUGUCUGAUGUAGAGAAGGUGUGUCCAACAUGGAAAAGGUGUGUCCAACAUAGAGAAGGUGUGUCUGACAUGGAGAAGGUGUGUCUGACAUAGAGAAGGUGUGUCCAACAUGGAGAAGGUGUGUCUGACAUAGAGAAGGUGUGUCUGGCAUAGAGAAAGUGUGUCUGACAGAGAAGGAAUGUCCAACAUUGAGAAGGUAUGUCCAACAUGGAGGCAGUGUGUAUGAAACGGAGACGAUGUGUCUGACAUGGAGACAAUGUGUAUGACGUGGAGACAAUGUGCAUGACGUGGAGACAAUGUGUCUGACAUGGAGACAAUAUGUCUGACGUGGAGACAAUGUGCAUGACGU